RNAcentral lists this long non-coding RNA (5071 nucleotides) under Homo sapiens (human). RNAcentral describes it as "HSALNT0027168". The record is from RNAcentral. Lineage: Eukaryota; Metazoa; Chordata; Mammalia; Primates; Hominidae.
CGCACCUGGACUCAUUAGAAGUCUUAGGGCUGGAAGAGAUGCAGCUCUGGGCUGGCUCUGAUGCGGACUUGUCACAAAGGCUUGGGCCUGCCUGUCUAGGAUCCUGUCUCUGCAGCUCUGCCCACGUGACCGUAUCCUUGGAAGAAAAAAAAAAUGGGGAUGCACAAAGUGACCAGCACAGGGUAUUCGUGAUGACCGGGGAACAGAGAUUGAGAAAGCAAGAGCCUUCCUGGCAAAUCUGGGUUCAGACGCGGCAGAGACAGCUGUUUCCAGCCACUGCUAUGAACCCAUCUAAGUGAAAUUGUGAGGACUAAGGAGAGAGGCACCCAUGACUGCCUUAAUCCACUCCUACCCAUCGUCUCUUCACCCAUCCACCCAUCCUUGCUGCAGACCUUUACUGGGCACCUGUGCCAGGAGACCAUCACUGCCCAUCAGAAGCUCAUACAGGGAGAAGCAGUGGCCACAGCAGAAGGCGUCCCGGGUCCUAGAGAGCACCUGGAGAACAAGGGAGAGCUGCAGAAACCGCCCUGUCUGCAUGUGUGCCCUCAUGUUCUUGGGUGCAUGUCUGUGUUUGUGUGUGUGUUUGCUUAUGUGCAUGUGCAGUGUGUGUGUGUUCGAGACAGAGCGAGACUGAGAGUGCAAGUGGGUGUAAGCACACACACCCACCCGUCAGCCCUGCCUGUCUGCUCAGAGUUUUGCCUGUCACCCGGCCACGCCCUGUGACCCCCCUCCUCGGCUGGGUGCAGCCAGGACACCUGUUGCCAGCUGCGAGCACCUGCCUGGUUGCUGCGCCCGUGUCCUGUGCAUGUUCCAAGCCAGCCCCCUGGGGUAAUCCAGGCCAUGACUCAGGAACGUCAUGUUGGGACACCCGAGACCCCCAGCCCCUGCCCUAGGGGUCAGGGCAGCAGGUCCCAUCUCCCUUAGCUGGGCUGGGCCCAGGCAGCCUGUAUCACUGUUUGCUCCAGAGGCUGGGUGCGUCCUGCUUGGGGGCUGUGUGAGGCCCGCUUGUUUUCACCCACAGAUUCCCAGGGUUCUCAAGGCAGAGGAAAGCGACAAUUAGGGCAACACCCAUGUUGGUUGGAUCAGAGUGAAUCCCAGGCCUGCUUGGGAGGCUUUAGGCACUCAGCUCGGCCAUCUCUGAGGGUAAGGGCAUGUCAGCCACUCUGCUGGGGCAUCUCUGUGCUCAGCACCAUGUGGGCUCAUCACAGACACAAGAGUGCGUCCUCUCAGAGGGAAUGGUCUGGCAGGUUUUGCCUGUUUUCCUGCUCACAGGUUGAAUUUCUUGGCCAGCAUCCCAUAGCCAGGCCAGAGCGGAGCAGGGCUGCCUGCUGCACCCAGUGGCUUCUUGUCAAUCUCGGCCUCUCGUUCCCUGCCUGGGAGAGGGUCUCAGUGUGAAGGGCAGAGGGGUCUUCUGGAACCAGCCAGUGCUGUGUCGGAGAGAAAGACCAGGAGGAAAUUGGAGGGGUACAGGCCUGAAACUCUCCCGCUGCCUUGCCAGGCACCCAAACCUGCUUGACCUGAGUGUCUUUCCGGCGGCGGGUGGGGGGGAGGGGGGUGGGGCGUGCUGCAUCGCUUACUUUGCCUGUGUCUUAGGGGAGCCUACCCAUUGCCCUCCAGCACCGGCGAACAAAGACCCCCACGGUGGCCAGGCCUGUGCGGGGUGUAAACAGUGUCCCAGGGUGUCUUGGUGUCCUCACUACUACAUCCUCCACGUUCCAGAGGAGAAACUGAGGCCCGAGGACACCCAGAAUUUCCCAGGGUCACACCAAGGGGAAACAGGUGACGUUGAAGUGGACACAGGGUGAUGAGAGGGGUGCAGAAAAGGAGAUACCCUGGCAUGCCAAGCCUGGGGCUGGUUGUCCACAUCCAGGAAGGUCCCUGCAAGGUUGUGGCACCUUUUCAUGGCAAGCAGACGCAGCACCAUGAAUACCCACAGCCACUCCUAAGGGCCCCUUCAUGCGGUGGCUGUGCCCAGCACUGGGCACGCAGGAACCAAGGCCCAGAGAGUUCUGGGUGGGUGGGGAGAGCUAGAGCCUUCCUUCUGGGCUCCAGGGCUUUUCAGUAGCACCACUGGCUUUCUAGAAGGUUGCUGUGUGAUUGGAAACUUGUGCUUUGAGAUACGAUUAUCUGUGUGGGGAGGAGGUUGUACUGGAGUCAGCAGUGAGGGGUGGCAGCACUAGGCCAGAAAUGGAUGUGGGGUCCUCUUGCGUGGAGCUGCCACUCCCCCAGCCACUCUGUCCUUACAACCAAAACCCCAAAAGGGGGCUGAGCCGGCCCUUGUGAGUGAGAGUAGAGGAGAAGGAAGGGGCUGUGGGGGGAGAGAAGCACAUGGAGCUGGCCCACGUGGAGAGAGGGACCCUGGGUGGCAGGGUGGCGUUGGGGGAGAUUUGCCAUCAGAGUGACCUUAGUGACUGUGCCACCUCGACCCUGACCUGGGCAAUGCCUGUGAGGGCACUGGGGCCCAAGGUCCCAGAGGAGCAGGGGAACUAAGAUGUGGCUCUCACAGAACCUCAAAUGUAUCUCCAGACAUCCACAUAUCUGCACCUGACACACAUUUCUGGAACAGCUACUUGGCCAAGCACCACCAGUUUGUCUCUAUGCCCCUCUUGCUGGGGAGCCCAGUCUGGGGCAAAGGAAGGCACAGGGGCAUCCGCUCCAGGCUUUCCAGAAUAGGCAGAACACAGAAGGGGUGCCCGCCGGACACGCGGAGGGAGGAGAUGAGAAGAGUCCCCAGCGCCAGAAGGGGUGGAGACGGCCUUGCUGGGGCAGGGCCACAGGUCACCUGCUGCUGGGCUCUGGCUGCAGUGGGAAACAACCAAAGUUUUAAAAAGAGGGUGAACCUCUUAGGAAAGGAAAUGACAUUUAUAAAGAGGUAGGGACGUGGGGGCAGGGAUGAUGGCCUUGGUGGCCACAGCUCUUAAACCAGUGGGGAGGAGGCAGCCACGCCAGCAUGGUGAGAUCCAAGCCGCAGUGACGGGGCUGCACUCGCUCCAGGUAGAUUGCUCAAAUGGAAGCUUCUGGAUGGAUAACUAAGGCAGCACAACCCCCAGUCAUUGUCUGAGGGCCACCCUGGGGGAUGGAGCGAGUGCAGGCCAAGUGGAUGCAGGGCCCACGGCCAGUUUCCAGGGUGAGCUGCAGGGCAAGCCGUGGGAAGCCCCAGAGGCAGACGCUGAGGGAUGGGCACCCCAAGAGAGUCCAGGGAUCCGAGGCCACCUGGGUGGAGCCCGGACAGCGUCUACUCCAGGGAGCAAAGCUGAGGCAGGAGCCGAGGGCUUUCCAGUGGAUGUGGAGACUUCGGCUUACUCCCGCACUGACUUUAUCCCAUUUCUGAGCCUGUCGGCACGUGUAGAGCAUUUUGGGCUCAGUUUCUCUAGAGACUAACUGUGGCCUCCCAUGGGGUGGGGACAGGACAGUCUCCCGGCUGCAUGGAAUGGGAUGCCGACCGAGGGACGGGCUCUCUCUUAAAGACUUGCCACCACACCUCUCUUGUCCAUGCCAGGCUUCUGGGGUCCCCUCUGCUGCAGGUGCUUCGGGAGUCUCAGUGGUUCUUCAGGGCAAAGCUGGCCCUGACCGUGUGCUGCAUGCCCGGAGGUCUGACAUCGGUGCUGCUGAGUGGCCUGCCGUGGUUCUCUUGGUUUCCCAUCUUGCAAAGAGUCGGUGAACUCUCACCUGCUCUUGUCUCCUCGUCUCUGUGCCCUGUCCUCCUGCGGGGCUUGGGAAACCAUAGGUGAUAAACACAUGAGCCAAUCUGCCAUCUCCACUGGAGCCAAUGCUCUUUCUGUGUUCCCAUUGGCCUGCCUAGGACUGAGGUCAGCUCCAGGGUCAGAGGCAGGACUGGAGUUGGGUUCUAACUGAGGCAGAGACAGGGCUUGGGAGAAGAAAUCAAGGUGGAGGGCAGAGGCUCCAGGUCUUUGCCAGGCUCACCUCAGAAGUGGGUGUGUCAGGCUGUCCAGAGUGGAGUGCACAGAAGCUGGGGCUUUGACAAGGGCAGGGUGACCAGUCCAGGCUGGCCUCAAAGGCAAGAGCUUGACUGCAGGGCCAGCAGGCGUGUGAUGUGGGUGGGCCCUAAGGAGGCUGAGGGAGAGGAUAAACUGUGAAGAGCCAGCAGCCCAGAAGCUAAAUGCAGGGAGGCAGAGAAGACAGGAGAGAUGGAGGCUUGCAGGACCUGGUGGUUGGGGAGGGCCAGUGACCAGGUGUUUAGAAGCAGCACCUCCUGUGAUUGGGGCUGAGGGUGAACUCUGCUUUCAAGCAGAGGUGGUUUGUCGUGGGUCUUCCAUGAUGACACCAGGUCAAGGUAGGCUGUUAGCACUGAGGCCUGUGGGAAGGCGAGGCCCGUGGGCAGAGUCCCAGAAUGGGAGGAAAAUGAAGACAGCCACUGCAGGGACUUGGGUGUCAUUCUGAAGGAAGCCACUUAAUGGUAAAUGGAGCAACAACAUGGUAGCCUUUCCUCUGGGGGAGCCCAGAGACAAGGGGGGUCUGGGGAGGCAGGCAGGCAGGCAGGCAGGUCAGGCCAGGGAGGGGCUGUGCCCAGCAGGGAAUGGAUGGCACACUCCCUCCCAGAAAGGCUGCUGCAGGGCUCAGCACUCUGAACCUUAAAAGGUUUACCCAACAGAGCCUCCAGAUGCUCAGAGUCUUGCAGGCUCAGAACAAGAAUUGUCAACUUGCCAAGAUGAAUCUGUCUCUCGGGGGAGGACCCACACAGAACAAACGUUUGAAGCAGAAGUUUGCUUGGUAAACAUGGAAUCGGAACAUGGGAAUUGGGCCACUGGGAUAUUCAAUUGCGUCAGACCAUUGUAGCUGAUACUCCUGGACAGAGGGGCUUUGCCAACUGGACAGAUAUAUGAAGUGUUGCUGACCGAGCUCCUUGCUCUGUGUGGGAGGGAUCUUGCCAGCUCCAGCCUUGGUGGGUCUCCUUUUUCUGUUUCCAAGCUUAAAUAAGCACUUGGCUGUUCUGAUUAGCACUUUUAAAAGCUGUGUUAAUAAGUUCAAUUAAAAUAGAAGAAUCUCUCAUUCUGUCAUAUCGGGUUUUUUUAAUUGCAAACCAAUAAAACUUAAAUGAACUUGAGCAAAA